This 253-nucleotide ribosomal RNA is filed under the name uncultured bacterium. RNAcentral's name for it is "partial 16S ribosomal RNA". It matches the Rfam family "Bacterial small subunit ribosomal RNA", at positions 524 to 776 of the family's 1533-position model. The record is from RNAcentral.
GACAGAGGGUGCAAACGUUGUUCGGAAUUACUGGGCGUAAAGCGCGUGUAGGCGGUCCGGUAAGUCCGCUGUGAAAGUCGAGGGCUCAACCCUCGAAUGCCGGUGGAUACUGUCGGGCUUGAGUACGGGAGAGGCGAGUGGAAUUCCUGGUGUAGCGGUGAAAUGCGCAGAUAUCAGGAGGAACACCGAUUGCGAAGGCAGCUCGCUGGAACGUUACUGACGCUGAGACGCGAAAGCGUGGGGAGCAAACAGG